This 56-nucleotide transfer RNA is filed under the name Mytilus coruscus. Its description in RNAcentral is "tRNA-Asp". The record is from RNAcentral. Lineage: Eukaryota; Metazoa; Mollusca; Bivalvia; Mytilida; Mytilidae.
UUAAAUUAUAACUUAGAAUUGUCAGUUCUAGAUUCCUUUAUAUUGAGGCUUUUUAU